GGAGUUGGGAAAUGGGCCAUUUCAGGCCUUUGGAGAGCCUCCGAGGGAGUGGGAAAGGUUGUUUUCACCCUUCCCAGAUAAAUAGAGAGGAUCUGGAGCCAGGUUUCAAAGGCAUAAUUUCAAAGGCAACCCCAUGCAGAGCUCAUCGUUAGUGCUACAAUCAACAGGUUGUUCUCACUUUGAGCAUGCCACCAGGCUACAAAGAUGGAGGUAAAUCUGUUCAACAGUUAAGAAGAUGUGUCUACGUCAAAGGCAAAGCUUUUGAAACUAAUACCACAUGUUUGGUCUAUUGUAUAUGUAAAAAGGUUCAGUGUAAAAGUUUUACAAUUUUCUCCAGUUCUGUGACCUUGCACGGAAUGUCAUCCAGCAAAGGAUAUUUUCUAGAAGCUGUAUUAAAAAACGAAACAAAACAAAAAUGAGGCAAUACAAAUAACAAACUCACAUGUGACUCCAAAUAGCUAUCACUACUGUGGAUUUUGUGUGGCUUGCUUGAAAACAUUUUCUCCCAUAAAAUUUAUACUGUGCCUUUGA
Molecule: non-coding RNA, 531 nt
Organism: Pantherophis guttatus
Lineage: Eukaryota; Metazoa; Chordata; Lepidosauria; Squamata; Colubridae
Source: RefSeq, a predicted model, not a curated record